GCAGACGUAGCCUAGCUGGUAAGACGCCGGCCUUGAGAGCCGGUGCGCGUAAGCGCUCGGGGGUUCGAAUCCCUCCGUCUGCG
This 83-nucleotide transfer RNA is filed under the name Promethearchaeota archaeon. Its description in RNAcentral is "Candidatus Lokiarchaeota archaeon tRNA-Ser". It matches the Rfam family "tRNA". From Rfam's summary of the family: Transfer RNA (tRNA) molecules are approximately 80 nucleotides in length. RNAcentral also lists the same sequence under 4 other names. Lineage: Archaea; Promethearchaeati; Promethearchaeota. The record is from RNAcentral.